AACGAACGCUGGCGGCGCGCCUAAUACAUGCAAGUCGAGCGAGAAGACGUAGCAAUACGUUUGUAAAGCGGCGAACGGGUGAGGAACACAUGGGUAACCUACCCUAGAGUGGGGAAGUAACUAGCCGAAAGGUUAGCUAAUACCGCGUACGCUCCUUGGACUUCGGUACAGGGAGGGAAAGCGAUACCGUGGGUAGUCGCGCUCUUGGUAGUGGGCGUCAUGUCCUAUCAGCUUGUUGGUGAGGAACGGCGUCACCAA
RNAcentral lists this ribosomal RNA (258 nucleotides) under uncultured bacterium. Its description in RNAcentral is "partial 16S ribosomal RNA". It matches the Rfam family "Bacterial small subunit ribosomal RNA", at positions 29 to 271 of the family's 1533-position model. The record is from RNAcentral.